This 215-nucleotide ribosomal RNA is filed under the name uncultured bacterium. RNAcentral's name for it is "partial 16S ribosomal RNA". It matches the Rfam family "Bacterial small subunit ribosomal RNA", at positions 524 to 739 of the family's 1533-position model. The record is from RNAcentral.
UACGGGGGGGGCAAGCGUUGUUCGGAAUUACUGGGCGUAAAGGCUCGUAGGCGGCCAACUAAGUCAUACGUGAAAUCCCUCGGCUUAACCGGGGAACUGCGUCUGAUACUGGAUGGCUUGAGUUCGGGAGAGGGAUGCGGAAUUCCAGGUGUAGCGGUGAAAUGCGUAGAUAUCUGGAGAACACCGGUGGCGAAGGCGGCUACUCGAUCGGGAUA